CCUACGGGGGGCAGCAGUGAGGAAUAUUGGUCAAUGGGCGCGAGCCUGAACCAGCCAAGUCGCGUGAAGGAUGACUGCCCUAUGGGUUGUAAACUUCUUUUAUAAAGGAAUAAAGUGAGGCACGUGUGCCUUUUUGUAUGUACCUUAUGAAUAAGGAUCGGCUAACUCCGUGCCAGCAGCCGCGGUAAUACGGAGGAUCCGAGCGUUAUCCGGAUUUAUUGGGUUUAAAGGGAGCGUAGGUGGGUUGUUAAGUCAGUUGUUAAAGUUUGCGGCUCAACCGUAAAAUUGCAGUUGAUACUGGCAGUCUUGAGUACAGUAGAGGUAGGCGGAAUUCGUGGUGUAGCGGUGAAAUGCUUAGAUAUCACGAAGAACUCCGAUUGCGAAGGCAGCUUACUAGACGGCCACUGACGCUGAUGCACGAAAGUGUGGGUAUCAAACAGGAUUAGAUACCCGAGUAGUC
This 460-nucleotide ribosomal RNA is filed under the name uncultured bacterium. RNAcentral's name for it is "partial 16S ribosomal RNA". It matches the Rfam family "Bacterial small subunit ribosomal RNA", at positions 338 to 795 of the family's 1533-position model. The record is from RNAcentral.